CCAUCCAUUGGGGAUGGGUCCUCAGCCAGAUCGGGUACCCUUCAGUCCUGUCUUCCUCAUCGAUAAUCUCUUCCUCAGAUGUUUCAUCAUCGACACCCUCUUCCUCAAGUGCUUCCUGCUCUAGACCAGUAGAUAGGUCUUCAGUUGUUGGCAUUAGUUCUACUGUCCUUGAUACAUCCUUAGCAAUUGACUCUGUAGUUCCUUCAAUUGUAA
RNAcentral lists this long non-coding RNA (213 nucleotides) under Zostera marina. RNAcentral describes it as "long non-coding RNA (ZMAR_LNC002266)". Lineage: Eukaryota; Viridiplantae; Streptophyta; Magnoliopsida; Alismatales; Zosteraceae. The record is from RNAcentral.